This 1352-nucleotide ribosomal RNA is filed under the name uncultured bacterium. Its description in RNAcentral is "bacterial SSU rRNA". It matches the Rfam family "Bacterial small subunit ribosomal RNA", at positions 28 to 1381 of the family's 1533-position model. The record is from RNAcentral.
AUUGAACGCUGGCGGCAGGCUUAACACAUGCAAGUCGAACGAUGAAGUCUAGCUUGCUAGACGGAUUAGUGGCGAACGGGUGAGUAAUGCUUAGGAAUCUGCCUAUUAGUGGGGGAUAACGUAGGGAAACUUACGCUAAUACCGCAUACGACCUACGGGUGAAAGGGGGCGUUUAGCUCUCGCUAAUAGAUGAGCCUAAGUCGGAUUAGCUAGUUGGUGGGGUAAAGGCCUACCAAGGCGACGAUCUGUAGCUGGUCUGAGAGGAUGAUCAGCCACACUGGGACUGAGACACGGCCCAGACUCCUACGGGAGGCAGCAGUGGGGAAUAUUGGACAAUGGGCGAAAGCCUGAUCCAGCCAUGCCGCGUGUGUGAAGAAGGCCUUUUGGUUGUAAAGCACUUUAAGUGGGGAGGAAAAGCUUGUGGUUAAUACCCAUAAGCCCUGACGUUACCCACAGAAUAAGCACCGGCUAACUCUGUGCCAGCAGCCGCGGUAAUACAGAGGGUGCAAGCGUUAAUCGGAAUUACUGGGCGUAAAGCGCGCGUAGGUGGUUAUUUAAGUCAGAUGUGAAAGCCCCGGGCUUAACCUGGGAACUGCAUCUGAUACUGGAUAACUAGAGUAGGUGAGAGGGGAGUAGAAUUCCAGGUGUAGCGGUGAAAUGCGUAGAGAUCUGGAGGAAUACCGAUGGCGAAGGCAGCUCCCUGGCAUCAUACUGACACUGAGGUGCGAAAGCGUGGGUAGCAAACAGGAUUAGAUACCCUGGUAGUCCACGCCGUAAACGAUGAGUGCUAAGUGUUGGGGGCUUUCCGGCCCUCGGUGCUGGAGCUAACGUAUUAAGCACUCCGCCUGGGGAUUACGACCGCAAGGUUGAAACUCAAAAGAAUUGACGGGGACCCGCACAAGCGGUGGAGCAUGUGGUUUAAUUCGAAGCAACGCGAAGAACCUUACCAGCUCUUGACAUCUUCUGACAACUCUAGAGAUAGAGCGUUCCCUUCGGGGACAGAAUGACAGGUGGUGCAUGGUUGUCGUCAGCUCGUGUCGUGAGAUGUUGGGUUAAGUCCCGUAACGAGCGCAACCCUUGUUGUUAGUUGCCAGCAUUAAGUUGGGCACUUUAACGAGACUGCCGGUGAUAAACCGGAGGAAGGCGGGGAUGACGUCAAAUCAUCAUGCCCCUUAUGAGCUGGGCUACACACGUGCUACAAUGGAUGGUACAACGAGCAGCGAUCCCGCAAGGGCUAGCUAAUCUUUCAAAGCCAUUCUCAGUUCGGAUUGCACUCUGCAACUCGAGUGCAUGAAGUCGGAAUCGCUAGUAAUCGCGAAUCAGAAUGUCGCGGUGAAUCCGUUCCCGGGUCU